GGAAACUUUGUUCGGCGAGGCUCUGUGAGGAGAGUCUGUGGGGAAAACACUUCCUGGGGAAAUGUCGUAGGAAACGACCUUUGCUGGGGAUAUGAACUUGCUAAUCGCCCUCAAGUUGGGGAUUAACAAAUCUGUUAAAAAUAAUCUGCUGGGGAAUGAGAUGAACACUGGGAACACCACCCUCUCAUCUGUUGGUUAUG
RNAcentral lists this long non-coding RNA (200 nucleotides) under Lathyrus oleraceus (garden pea). RNAcentral describes it as "Pisum sativum (pea) long non-coding RNA (PSAT_LNC026154)". The record is from RNAcentral. Lineage: Eukaryota; Viridiplantae; Streptophyta; Magnoliopsida; Fabales; Fabaceae.